RNAcentral lists this ribosomal RNA (398 nucleotides) under Escherichia coli. RNAcentral describes it as "bacterial SSU rRNA". It matches the Rfam family "Bacterial small subunit ribosomal RNA", at positions 1121 to 1519 of the family's 1533-position model. The record is from RNAcentral. Lineage: Bacteria; Pseudomonadati; Pseudomonadota; Gammaproteobacteria; Enterobacterales; Enterobacteriaceae.
GCGGUCCGGCCGGGAACUCAAAGGAGACUGCCAGUGAUAAACUGGAGGAAGGUGGGGAUGACGUCAAGUCAUCAUGGCCCUUACGACCAGGGCUACACACGUGCUACAAUGGCGCAUACAAAGAGAAGCGACCUCGCGAGAGCAAGCGGACCUCAUAAAGUGCGUCGUAGUCCGGAUUGGAGUCUGCAACUCGACUCCAUGAAGUCGGAAUCGCUAGUAAUCGUGGAUCAGAAUGCCACGGUGAAUACGUUCCCGGGCCUUGUACACACCGCCCGUCACACCAUGGGAGUGGGUUGCAAAAGAAGUAGGUAGCUUAACCUUCGGGAGGGCGCUUACCACUUUGUGAUUCAUGACUGGGGUGAAGUCGUAACAAGGUAACCGUAGGGGAACCUGCGGUU